Molecule: ribosomal RNA, 253 nt
Filed under: uncultured bacterium
Lineage: Bacteria
Description: partial 16S ribosomal RNA
Rfam family: Bacterial small subunit ribosomal RNA
Source: RNAcentral
UACAGAGGUCCCGAGCGUUGUUCGGAUUCACUGGGCGUAAAGGGUGCGUAGGUGGCGCGGUAAGUCGGGUGUGAAAUUUCGGAGCUUAACUCCGAAACUGCAUUCGAUACUGCCGUGCUUGAGGACUGGAGAGGAGACUGGAAUUUACGGUGUAGCAGUGAAAUGCGUAGAGAUCGUAAGGAAGACCAGUGGCGAAGGCGGGUCUCUGGACAGUUCCUGACACUGAGGCACGAAGGCCAGGGGAGCAAACGGG